UCACUUUUUUAGAAUGGUCAUAUGAUAUAUUGAUAAUCAAGGGUAAAAUAAAUAAAAAAAGAACGUGACAACAAACACAAUGAGCGAUAGACCAGCAAAACAAAAAUAGACGGAUAAUAGAGACUAAAAAUGAAAAGAGAAUGAACUACUACAAUCAACCAUCAACAACAAAAACCAACAUAAGGAAAAGAAAGCCCAUCAAACACUCACAUUGCAAACCAACAACCAACAGAGAUCAAACGAGAACUCAGACACCAAAUCCACCAACCAUAAACCAAAACCUCAAGGAAACACGAACUAACCACUAAGCACCAAGGGGUUGCAAAGGAAUCUCGAUAUGCUAUCGGUCCAUACACAUGAUAGAGUUUUGAAGGCAAUUAGAGAAUAAGAGAAAGUUCAAAGAGGAUCGGUUAAGGAACCAACUCCAGACUAAAAAAAUACUCUUAUCCUCCACCUCUUUCACAUUUGUUGACGUACAAUUAAAAAACUUAUCAUUUCAAACAUACUAGAUAAUCCACACCACCACAUGGAAAAUCAUAAUAAAUCUACUAAGCUUAGCCUUAAGGCCUAAAAAUAAAUAAAAAAAUUCAAAAACUAAUCUAAGAUCCCUAAGGAUAACCAAUUGUACCCCGAACCACCUACAACCAUAUACUAGACACUGGAAACCAAACUACAAGUCACAAACAAAUGAGAUGUCGUAUCAACUUGAUUCCCACAAAGAGCAUACAUGGUCCCCUCUAGAUAAAUAAUGAUAUUCUACUUGAAUAGAUAUUCCUUUGGUAGAAACCUAUCUCAUAGAAGUUGCCAAG
This 809-nucleotide long non-coding RNA is filed under the name Lathyrus oleraceus (garden pea). RNAcentral describes it as "Pisum sativum (pea) long non-coding RNA (PSAT_LNC010968)". Lineage: Eukaryota; Viridiplantae; Streptophyta; Magnoliopsida; Fabales; Fabaceae. The record is from RNAcentral.